CUCUGAUGACGCCACGACGCUGACGCCCGAGGAUGGCGGCGGCCGUGGCCGCGGCCCCGAGACUGUCGGCAGAGCUGCCGAGGCGCCGAAGACCCCGCUGCCCGAGCGAGGUGUAGACGGGGCGCUGCCUGCAGAGCAGGUCCUGCCAGCCUUGCUAGAGAGGAUGCCCCCGUGUCCGUGAUGGGCUGUGGGACAAGCAAGGUCCUUCCUGAGCCGCCCAAGGAUGUCCAGCUGGAUCUGGUCAAGAAGGUGGAACCCUCCAGUGGCACCAAGAGUGAUGUGUACAAGCACUUCAUCACAGAGGUGGACAGUGUUGGCCCUCUCAAAACUGGGUCCAUGACAUUCAGUCAGCCCGCACACCUCUGUCCUGGUGCCCCUACUACUGGCCACACAGAGCCUCCCUCAGAACCGCCACGCAGGGCCAGGGUGGCCAAGUACAGGGCCAAGUUCGACCCACGGGUGACAGCCAAGUACGACAUCAAGGCUCUAAUUGGCCGAGGCAGCUUCAGCCGGGUGGUACGCGUGGAGCACCGGGCAACUCGGCAGCCAUAUGCCAUCAAGAUGAUCGAAACCAAGUACCGGGAGGGGCGGGAGGUGUGUGAGUCGGAGCUGCGUGUGCUGCGGCGAGUGCGUCAUGCCAACAUCAUUCAGCUGGUGGAGGUGUUUGAGACGCAGGAGCGCGUGUACAUGGUGAUGGAGCUGGCCACUGGUGGAGAGCUCUUUGACCGCAUCAUCGCCAAGGGUUCUUUCACUGAGCGUGACGCCACGCGGGUGCUGCAGAUGGUGCUGGAUGGCGUCCGGUAUCUGCAUGCACUGGGCAUCACACACCGAGACCUCAAGCCUGAGAACCUGCUCUACUACCACCCGGGCACAGACUCCAAGAUCAUCAUCACCGACUUCGGCCUGGCCAGUGCCCGCAAGAAGGGCGACGACUGCCUGAUGAAGACCACCUGCGGCACGCCUGAGUACAUCGCCCCUGAGGUCCUGGUCCGCAAACCCUACACCAACUCCGUAGACAUGUGGGCUCUGGGUGUCAUCGCCUACAUCCUGCUCAGUGGCACGAUGCCCUUUGAGGAUGACAACCGCACCCGGCUGUACCGGCAGAUCCUCAGGGGCAAGUACAGUUACUCGGGGGAGAUGGAUAUCCAGGUAUGCCAGCACCAUUUGUUAAAGAGACUGUCUUUUUCCAAUUUAACUGACUUUGGGCCUUUGUCAACAUCCCAGAGCAGAAUGGUAAGGAUUAUAGUCACUGUGUGGAGGCUCUUCUAUUAGUUUCAGUAGUUUUCUUGAGGAUUCUUUAGGGUUUUCUGUGUAUAAGAUCAUGUCAACUGUAAAUAGAGAUGCUUUUACUUCUUCCUUGCCAAACUGGAUGCCCUUUAUUUCUUUAUCUAACCUAAUUGCUCUGGCUAGAACCUCCAGCACAAUGUUGAAUAAGAGUGGUGAUAAAGGGCACCUUUGUCUGGUUUCCGUUUUCCAGGGGAAUGCUUUCAGACUCUCUCCAUUUAGGAUGAUGUUGGCUGCUGGCUUUACAUAAAUGCCGUUCAUUAUGUUGAGGAAUUUUCCUUCUAUUCCUGUUUUGCAGAGAGCUUUUAUCAUGAAUGGGUAUUGAACUUUGUCAAAUGCCUUUUCUGCAUCAAUUGAUAAGAUCAUGUGGUUCCUGUCUUUUGUUUUAUUUAUAUGAUGGAUUACAGUAAUUGUGUCUCUAAUGUUGAGCCAUCCCUGCAUACCUGGUAUAUAUCCAACUUGGUCAUGGUGAAUUAUUUUUUUGAUAUGUUGUUGAAUUCUAUUGGCUACAAUUUUAUUCAGGAUUUUUGCAUCUAAGUUCAUGAGGGAUAUAGGUCUGUAAUUUUCUUUUUUUUGUGGUGUCUUUACCUGGUUUUGGUAUCAGGGUUACGCGGGCUUCAUAGAAUGAGUUUGGGAGUAUUCCGUUGUUUUCUAUGCUCUGAAAUACUUUCAGUAGUAGUGCUAUUAACUCGUCUCUGAAGGUUUGGUAGAACUCUGCAGUGAAGACAUCCGGGCCAGGGCUUUUUUUGUUGUUGUCUUCCCUACUUCUUAAAGUGAGUAUGUUGUUAGUUGCUGUCAAGUACUGCUCCAUAGGGCUUUCAAGGGUGUGACCUCUUGAAAGCAAAUCACCAGGCCUGUCUUCUGAGGCAUCUCUGGGUGGGUUUGAAUUGCUAGUAGUUGGGCGCUUAACCAUUUAUUCCACCCAGGGCCUCUAUACAGUGACUAUAAUCCUACCAUUCUGCUCUGGGAUGUUGAAGAUAAAAUGAGGUGGCAGAGGGCGUGGCGUGUCUUGUUGCCCUCUAGGUGAGGGUGGUUGGUGUCUGUGGGGCUUGGUCCUCCUGCUUCCUAUUCUCUGACUCUUCAGUUUUCUGCCCCAUAUGCCACAGGGAUCAGCAGGGUGAGCAGGGAUGAAUCUAACUCCUUUACUCCAGAACUAUGGGGAGAACUACCCAUGGACAUGGGAGAGCUGGGAUGGGAAAUGUGUGCUGGCAGCACAGCGGGAUGCAGAGAGGCAUGUAGUAUAUUUCCUGGCUCUUGCUUGUAUUUUGCUGGAUGCCUUUAAUGGCUCAGCUGUCCUGCCUCCAGUCUGGAUGGGCUGUAAUGGACCCAUCAGCUCACCACUCUUCCCUCGCUGUCCCUACUCCCAGAGUCAGAGGAUAGCUUUCCUGUGUUUGUCUCAGUAGCUGACAACAGAAGGAAACACAAAUUGGUUUAGAAUUUUUCUUUGCUGUGAGGCAGCCUUAAGCCCUUCUUCCUUGCCUACCUGCUGGUGGUGGCUGGAUGUCGAGUGCUGGAUGAUGACGCUGUCUGCAUGUGUGGUCUCAUGAGGGAGGAUGACAGAUGCCCCCAUACCUGUGUGGAAAGGACGCCCCCAUCAACAGAACUCCUGGGACACAGUUGGUGUUCAUGCGAUGUGUCUCCCUCCUUCGCUGCAGGAGCAGAAGCCCUCAGGCUCUCUCCCCCCACGUCCUUCUCUUUUCUGCUGCUCGCCCCCCACCUGCCCCCUGCCGGGUCCCAGGGUGGUGGAUUCUGUCUGGUCUGGAAG
RNA transcript from Loxodonta africana (African savanna elephant), 3049 nucleotides. It is a transcript of the gene named protein serine kinase H1, with no coding region annotated. The transcript is spliced from 4 exons. The record is from RefSeq and is a predicted model, not a curated record. Lineage: Eukaryota; Metazoa; Chordata; Mammalia; Proboscidea; Elephantidae.